RNAcentral lists this long non-coding RNA (492 nucleotides) under Homo sapiens (human). RNAcentral describes it as "long non-coding RNA NONHSAT039154.2". Lineage: Eukaryota; Metazoa; Chordata; Mammalia; Primates; Hominidae. The record is from RNAcentral.
AUGUCAGUUUAGAGAAAAAGCUCUUCAAAGGCCAAACUAGUUCUCAAGAAGAAAUGAUACCUUCAAGACACGCUCCAAUGGAUAUGUCACUUCCUUGGCUAUCCUACAAGGAGAAAGCAGAAGAAGAAACACCCAGGAAGCAGAUGCAGAGGAACUGCUGCUAGAGUUCCCUGGACUGGUUUCCCAGAUGUAGAAAGUUCCGAAGACCUACAGAGUAACUAUUCAGGAAGACAAAAGUCUGAAUGAGAUCUAUGAUCUUAUAGGCAACACAGAGAUUCAUCAUGAAAGAACGUCAAUAUGUACAAGUAUACAAAGUUUUAGUCUGGAUGCCCAAUUUCUGGUGACUUUGCAGAAUGUGUUGGCGCUGAUUGCUCUGGACUGACCAUACCAGGAAACCACUCAUCUGCUUUCUGACUAUGGAUGUAAUAGACAGAACUCUGGAUAUCUUGGACCAAGAGGUAACCUAGUGCAUGGGAAGGAUGCGCUGAGGAU